This 69-nucleotide transfer RNA is filed under the name Platyplectrum melanopyga (Wokan cannibal frog). Its description in RNAcentral is "tRNA-Glu". It matches the Rfam family "tRNA". Rfam says of the family: Transfer RNA (tRNA) molecules are approximately 80 nucleotides in length. Their secondary structure includes four short double-helical elements and three loops (D, anti-codon, and T loops). Lineage: Eukaryota; Metazoa; Chordata; Amphibia; Anura; Limnodynastidae. The record is from RNAcentral.
GUUUUUAUAGUUGAAUUACAACGGCAGUUUUUCAGGCUGCUAGUCUGGGUUAAAGCCCCAGUAGGAAUA